RNA transcript from Cucurbita maxima (winter squash), 2171 nucleotides. It is a transcript of the gene named kinesin-related protein 9-like, with no coding region annotated. The record is from RefSeq and is a predicted model, not a curated record. The transcript is spliced from 2 exons. Lineage: Eukaryota; Viridiplantae; Streptophyta; Magnoliopsida; Cucurbitales; Cucurbitaceae.
UUUACUUUGACUCUGUUUGUAGCAUUCUCGAGUUUCCUUCCAUCUUAUCUCACAUGGAUGCCCCACGUAUGAUCCUUUUUCCGUCGAGUAAAACCACGCCCAGAAGCAACCUCUCUUUUUCACAGCAAACCCCUCUCCCCCAAUUAUAAACACCACAAACCCCCACCCUUCUGUCCUCUUCUUCUUCUUCGUCUUCUUCCUCUCCACAGUUCCAAAUUUAAGGGUUUUCUGUGGACCUUCCACUCUACAACUCCGCCUCUGCAACCUCCGAUUGUGUCGGUUGUUUUUCCGGUGGCUUUUUUCUCCCCUUCCCCCUUUCUCAAAUGGGUUUCUUAUGAUAUUAUGAAGGGGCAAUCGGCGGCCGAACAGCUUUAAUUUAUUUUUUUUUUUUGGUUCUGCACCUGUGGUAUACUUUGUGUGUGUCCGUACAUAUCUUGGCCUUGUUUGGGUGUUUCGUGAUGGACUCUGGGAGUAGUGCAAGUAUACAAAGCUCGAGUGGCGGCGAAGAAGACUACGAUUCACGCGCGGAGGGGGGGCUCUCUGGUUUCUUAAACAAUCCGUCACCGCAUGUCGGCCCCAUAGCUACUAAGCCCAACCCACCCCCACCAUCCGUACAUCCUCCAGCGACGCACCACUCUCAUUCUUCCUCUUCCCUCUUCGACCCUUUCUCCAACUUCGCCCAUCAUUUACCCACUCGAUCACCUCAAAAUUCCCUUCCCAAUCUCGACUUCCUCUGUUCCAGGAACCCCAGGUCCGACCACGACCCGAUCCAACUUCCCGCCUCCAUUUCCAUGCUCCCUUCUUCCUCUCAACCCCAAUCGUUUAUGACGGCCACCAAUAGUCAAUUGCAUUUGCAACUCCCUCAUCAAGUCACGCCAACUAAUGUCCAAGCUCCACGGGGUCUAACUCUCACCGCGGAUCGAACCGACGUCGUUCAUAACCAUAAUAACAACAACACUGGUACUGGCAGCCACGCCUCUGCUCGUAACCCGAGGAAGCGAACCCGAGCGUCGAGGAGAGCCCCAACCACCGUCCUCACCACAGAUACUUCCAAUUUCAGAGCCAUGGUCCAGGAAUUCACUGGGAUUCCAGCACCUCCCUUCACACCUGCCUCCUCUUUCCCCAGAGCAAGAGUGGAGCUUUUUGGCGGCACCUCCUCCACCUCUUCCCCACCCUACCUACUCCGCCCAUUUCCCCAAAAGCUACCUCCUUUUCCUUUCAAUUCCCCUGAUACUACUACUACUACUACUACUACUACUUCUACAAAUACUUCCCUUCUCUCUCCAUCCUCCCAUUUUCUUCUCCCCAAACAGAAUCAUCAUCUGUCCUCUAUUUUCAAUCUCCAGCCCCCUCCCCCUCUCCACCAACCUAAUAUAAAUCUCCUCGCCUCCGACCUUCAAGUUUCCCUUGAUACUGCCCAAACCACACCCGAGCCCCGCCGUAAUCACCAUCUUCAUCAAACGCAUCUCCCAGAAGAGUUCCUUUCUGGGAAUAUUCUUCCGCCAAGUUGGGACAUUGGCGGCGGCGGCGGAGGAGGAGGAGCGUCCAUGAAUGCCAAAUACUGUGGCGGUACUAGAGUUAACAACAACUAUUCGGCCUCUUCUUCUUCUUUGGAUUUUCAUGGUGAUAAGGGGGGGUCCGAGAAUGUGACGACUAGGAGUGAAGGUAUGAUAGAAUCUUGGAUUUGUUCGUCAGAUUGAUUAAUUAAUUAAUUAAUUAAUCCUCAUCUACAUCUACCAUCUACCAUACCCAGAUGCUUAUGAGGCAUGAGAAUCACAGACCCACAUCGAAGUAAAGAUCCGGAGUCUGCAGGCAGGUUUGGAAACCGGAGGUUGACGUAGAUGGGUGCCCCAAAUUAAAGUAGAGCUUUUUACCUGUCUCUAACAUGUAGAGCUGGUUAGACGAACACACGACACUCCACAAUGAUAUGAUAUUGUCCAUAUUGUCCAUCAUUCCUUAAAUUAGUCGAUAAAUUGAGGCUCGACUCUCAUGCCUUCGAAGAGGCUCAACUCCUUUUAGGGCAUGGUUCUGAUAUCAUGUUAGACGAAUACGACUCUCUACAAUAGUAUGAUAUUGUCCACUUUAAGUGUAAGCUCUUAUGGCCUUGCUUUGGACGGUCCCAAAAGGCCUCAUAGUAUUUAUUAAUUAUAAACCCAUGAUCAUUUUCUAAA